AGUACUGUUCCCCAAUUGAUUCUUGAUUUGUCAAUAAAGAAGGUCGGAGGCCGGUUGCUGCGCGGAAGAUACAGGCGGGACUUCCGGGUUCCAGGAGGAAACGGCUGACACAAGAAAAGAGAGAGGUCUUUCUGGGCUUUGGAAAAGGAAGAAGGCAGGAACCAUAAGAGGUCUCGGGCGAGCUAGGACCAGUGGCCACCGCUACAGAUGAGGAAAGCAUGGUUCAGAGAGCAGAAUAGAGUGUCUGCAAAAAGUACCAGCCUUGGGAUCCAGAAUUCUGGCUGCAUCUCCAGGGCUUUUUCUGCAGAGUAAGAAUUACACUAUAAUUUCCACUGUGACUCUAUCAAGUGCCAGUCACUGAAGGCAAGGUCAACUUCCCUCCAAAAAGGAGUUUUGUUGGAGGGUCAUAGGAAGGAAAAAACCCUGGGAAGAAGUCCUCAAUGAUGGGAAAUGUCUGGAAGUCCAGUGGCAUCUGUACCUUGUGAGUCUCCCAGGAUGUCCUUAGUCUAAUGGGAUCCCUGAGCUCACAGGGAAGCACCAAGGAUUAAUUCUUCCCUGACAAUGUCUUAUGAUCUAUCAACAAUGAAAACAACUCUU
Rattus norvegicus (Norway rat) is the source of this 597-nucleotide non-coding RNA. The record is from RefSeq and is a predicted model, not a curated record. Lineage: Eukaryota; Metazoa; Chordata; Mammalia; Rodentia; Muridae.